This 107-nucleotide small RNA is filed under the name Marmota monax (woodchuck). The record is from RNAcentral. Lineage: Eukaryota; Metazoa; Chordata; Mammalia; Rodentia; Sciuridae.
GUUGGGCAUGGUGGUGUAUGCCUGUAGUCCCAGCAAUUUAGGAGGCUGAGGCAGGAGGAUCACAAGUUUGAGGCCAGCCUGGGCAACUCAAUGAGACCCUGUCUCAA